Molecule: long non-coding RNA, 851 nt
Organism: Dalotia coriaria
Lineage: Eukaryota; Metazoa; Arthropoda; Insecta; Coleoptera; Staphylinidae
Exons: 2
Source: RefSeq, a predicted model, not a curated record
ACGUAGCCAAAUAUAAUCAACUAAUUUUAUCUGUUAUCAUAUUAUCGUAAAUAUCUACACGUAUAUAAAUGAUGAUUAUUCAAAAAAUAUUAACAGUGCUCCGUCUCACCUAUACCUUACGCCUAGGCAUACAAUUUGAGAAAUUCUGCAAUUUACAAAGCAGUCCUAAAACGAUGUCAAAAUAUCCGGAACCCAUGGAAGUUGAUCCUGACGAACCUUCUUUUUAUAUUUCUGAACCCAUGGAGGUUGAUCCUGACGAACCUUCCUUUUAUAUUUCUGAACCCAUGGAGGUUGAUCCUGACGAACCAGAUUUUAAUCAAGUUUCAGAUUUUCAUGUUUCUCGCGGCACUAGAUUUAUUAAUCGCAAAUUAGAAAAAAAAUUAAAUUACAGAAUUUCCAAAAGUAAGCCCAGGUAUUCCGCAUAUCCAAAAAUGGUCCAAAGAACAACCAUGAACCUGAAUUUAUGGAAGUUGAAGCGGACAUAUCAUUUGUUAGCUCCAUGUAAUGUUUCUGUGUUAAUCAAGUGUUCUAUGUUUCAACGCUCUGGAAAUGGGUUUCAAAGCAAGCCAAAUAUCUACAUGCGUGUCUCAAAAAUGUUGAAGACAAUAAAACUCUACCAAAUCCUCCAGUUAUCAAUACUCGAGAUGAUGGUAAUUUUAUUCUAAUAAUUUAUUUUUUUCAAACAGAACAAGGAACCAAGCAUUCCGUAGGAAAUUAUUUCAAAAAAAAUAAUUUAUUUCAUUUAUUUAGUAAAAUUUAGCAAAAAAAGUUUAAAAAAACAUCAGUUUAAAUACACUGAGAAAAAUACUAUAUAUUUAAAAAAUAAUUUAAUAAAAGAAGAAAUAAAUUUA